Molecule: unclassified non-coding RNA, 323 nt
Filed under: Hevea brasiliensis (rubber tree)
Lineage: Eukaryota; Viridiplantae; Streptophyta; Magnoliopsida; Malpighiales; Euphorbiaceae
Source: RNAcentral
GGUGCAGUUCCAUUGACGGCCUUGAAGGCCAGCACCAUCAUCUUGAAUCGGAUGCUGGCCCCAACAGGAAGCCAGUGGAGGUCACGGAGGAGGGGGGUCACAUGGGAGAAUUUGGGAAGAUUGUAAACAAGGCGCGCUGCAGCGUUCUGGAUACGCUGCAACGGUUUAGCUGCAGAGGCUGGGAGUCCAGCCAAGAGGGAGUUGCAGUAGUCCAGGCGGGAGAUGACCAGCGCUUGGACCAGGAGUUGCGUUGCGUCUUUUGUGAAGAAAGACCGGAUCCUGCGGAUAUUGUAGAGGGAAGACCUGCAGGAUCGGGCCACAGC